GGGGCCGGGAGUUGCUGGUGUGCGGCGUGGCUCGGGCGCCUUCCCUCGCGGGGGCGGGGCGGCGGGGGCGGGGCGGUUCCUCGUGGGUGGGGCUGGGCGCCCCGGAGGGCGGUGGCCGCGGGGCGCGGGGCGCUGGGAUCCCGCCCGCUCCUCCGCCCGCCUUCUCUGUCCUGCACCCCUCCCGCCCCGGGGCUCCUGCCCGGACGGCGGCCGCCGCCGUCUCGUCUUCCCCGAGGGCUCCGCGUCCGUCUCCACAUCUCGGCCGGGAACCUGGGAACGCGGGAACUCGAACCCAGGAGGACGUGCCCGAGCCAGGACCCACCGCGGGGACCCUCUGGCCGGGAAGAGGACUCGGGCCCUGGCGGUCGAAGACGGACGCAGCUCCCGGAAAGGCGAGCCGGGUCUCCGGCUCCUGGAGCUUCCUAACAAAGGGCGGAGGCGAAGGAGGCACGAUGGGCAGUGGGCUCGGAAGCCGGAGUCGAAAGAAGAACGUUAUAAAAAUCCGUCACUUCCCAGUCCCCGCGCACUCCCAAAUCAUCAGAGUUUGGGUGGGGACAAAGUGAAUCCCCGCCUAGAGUCGGGUUUGGUAUCCAUGGCCUGGUUUUCGGCCCGGGCGUCUGGAGCCCUGGGGAACCUCCCCCAGCUCGUCCCAAGUCGCGGUUUCCGAGCUGGGGAGAGAAGGGCCCUGGGGGCGAGAGGGGUCGGGGCACAGCGCGCAGUUUCUCCUGCCGCCUUCGAGGACGGAGACUCGGGGUUCGCAGCGCCCUGGCUGCGCGAAUCUCCUCGCUCCCCCCCCCCCCCCGCCCCACGAAAGACGCUCAGAGUGCACACCCGCCUGCACCAAAGCCAGGGAUCUCAUUUCUCUCAAAAUAAAACUCAAUAAGCCAUAAAGGCUCCUGAUUCCAGUGGAAAAGGCGCCGCAGAUUUAUGGUCCCUCCAAAUCCCCACACUCUAAUUAUCCCUGUUUUUAGUUUACUUAUGGGUGGUGACCAAUAAAAUGAUUUUCCAUUUUGAAUUUUUUUUCA
Molecule: long non-coding RNA, 1025 nt
Filed under: Piliocolobus tephrosceles (Ugandan red Colobus)
Lineage: Eukaryota; Metazoa; Chordata; Mammalia; Primates; Cercopithecidae
Description: lncRNA (ENSPTEG00000011009.1)
Source: RNAcentral